UGGCGGACGGGUGAGUAACGCGUGAGUAACCUGCCUCUCAGAGGGGGAUAACGUUCUGAAAAGAACGCUAAUACCGCAUAUAAUCAAGAAACCGCAUGAUUUUUUGAUGAAAGGAGCAAUCCGCUGAGAGAUGGACUCGCGUCUGAUUAGCUAGAUGGUGGGGUAACGGCCUACCAUGGCGACGAUCAGUAGCCGGACUGAGAGGUUGAACGGCCACAUUGGGACUGAGACACGGCCCAGACUCCUACGGGAGGCAGCAGUGGGGGAUAUUGCGCAAUGGGGGAAACCCUGACGCAGCAAUGCCGCGUGAAGGAAGAAGGUUUUCGGAUUGUAAACUUCUUUUGUUAAGGACGAAGAAUGACGG
RNAcentral lists this ribosomal RNA (364 nucleotides) under uncultured bacterium. RNAcentral describes it as "bacterial SSU rRNA". It matches the Rfam family "Bacterial small subunit ribosomal RNA", at positions 96 to 475 of the family's 1533-position model. The record is from RNAcentral.